GGCUUCGAGAGGAGCCAGGGAGACUCAGUUUGGGAACUGGCUGGGAGAGUGAGAAAGAAAGAGUGCUGGGGCGUGCAGAUCACGUUUCACAUCACAUCAGAGCUGUGGAAUUUCCUCUCUUCUGGGGGGAGGCCUGUGAAGAUGAAGUUGGUUUAAGGUUAGUCGGUGAUGAAUAAUAGCCCAAAGGAAACUGAUGGAGGGUGUUACUAAGUGACUGUUGUUUACAAGCAGAGAUUUCGUGGUGGGGAAGGGUGGCGGAAGUCGGGGCCAUCUUCAGUCUGAGUCGUUAACCAAAUUCUGUGACCCGAGAAUGGAGUCCAUGUAUGGAUUUUAUUUGUGUCUGACCCCUGUGGUAUGCAGAGCCCUGAACUGCGGGCUGAGAAGGGGAGCGAAAGGAAUGGGAAGGUAAUUAGAAAAGGCGGGAGAACCUCCUCUGCGGGUGAGGCAUGUGGGGCCCUGUGGGCACAAUCUGCUUUGUGUCCCGGGCAUCCCCGGGGUGGUCCUGGCAGGAUCUGUUUCUGUUCUAGUUAAGCCACGUGCUCUGCACCACACAAUGGUCACCGACCCCGCUCUCCGAGGCCCUUAGCUCCCAAGAGAUGUGUUUAUUUUUUAAAUUCUACACAGAUGAGGAAUCUGAGACGUGGAGAUGGAAAGUAAUUUGCCAGCCUAUGAACCUAUUUGAAAGCACUUCAGUAUCAGUGAUUUCAUGGAAUCCUCACAUCCUCCCCGUGGGAUAAAACUACGUCACAUCCUGCAAGUAUUUGAAAAUAUUUCUUAAGAAUAUCACUGCCUGAUUUUUUGAGCCGCACCACUGCAUGGCCACUGACAGAUGAGUGGUGUAGGUCUGCACCUGGGAACCGAACCCAGGCCGUCGAAGUGGAGCACACCGAACUUAACCACUACACCGCCGGGGCUGGCCCACAUAUGAGAUUUUGAUUUGGACGAGAGCAACUAAGGAAGCAGGCAUCCUGGGGAAGGGGCCUGGAGGAGGCAUCUGGCCUUUAGAGCAACAGCAGGGAUGUUUUGGGACUCAAUUUCCACCAUUGUUGAAGGGAGGGAGGAGACGCAAGUUGCAGAAUUUGUGCUGAUUGAUAGCUGCCAUGCUAGCUUGGCUGGAAAAGUACCUCUGGGUGGUCUGGGCAUCAUUCCUGAAUACUGAGCCUCUGAGCCUGCCUUCCCUUCUGGAUUCUGUAAACCUCUUAGUAUUUUUUAAUAAAUUCCUCUU
This is a long non-coding RNA of Diceros bicornis minor, 1225 nucleotides long. RefSeq lists it as uncharacterized. The transcript has 5 exons. NCBI's taxonomy places the organism in Eukaryota, Metazoa, Chordata, Mammalia, Perissodactyla, Rhinocerotidae. The record is from RefSeq and is a predicted model, not a curated record.